RNAcentral lists this ribosomal RNA (191 nucleotides) under uncultured Chlamydiae bacterium. Its description in RNAcentral is "partial 16S ribosomal RNA". It matches the Rfam family "Bacterial small subunit ribosomal RNA", at positions 318 to 502 of the family's 1533-position model. Lineage: Bacteria; Pseudomonadati; Chlamydiota; Chlamydiia. The record is from RNAcentral.
ACUGAGAACUGCCCAGACUCCUACGGGAGGCUGCAGUCGAGAAUCAUUCGCAAUGGGCGAAAGCCUGACGAUGCGACGCCGUGUGAGCGAUGAAGGCCUUAGGGUCGUAAAGCUCUUUCGCUUGGGAACAAGAGAAGUUGACUAAUAUUCAGCUAAUUUGAGGGUACCAGGUAAAGAAGCACCGGCUAACU